This 463-nucleotide ribosomal RNA is filed under the name Lymantria grisea. RNAcentral's name for it is "partial large subunit ribosomal RNA". Lineage: Eukaryota; Metazoa; Arthropoda; Insecta; Lepidoptera; Erebidae. The record is from RNAcentral.
UGCCCACUGAUAAAAAUUAAAGGGCUGCAGUAUAUUGACUGUACAAAGGUAGCAUAAUCAUUAGUCAUUUAAUUGAUGACUUGUAUGAAAGAUUGGAUGAAAUAUAGACUGUCUUAAAGGUAAAUUUUAAAAUUUAAUUUUUAAGUUAAAAAGCUUAAAUGUAUUAAAAAGACGAGAAGACCCUAUAGAGUUUUAUUAAUUUUUUAAAUUAAAAUUUUUAUAAAUAAUUAUUAAAUUUAAUUUAAAAAAAUUAAUUUUAUUGGGGUGAUAGAAAAAUUAAAUGAACUUUUUAAAAAAAAACCAUAAAUAAGUGAUUAAUUGAUCCAAUUAUUAUUGAUUAUAAGAAAAAAUUACCUUAGGGAUAACAGCGUUAUUUUAUUUUUUAGUUCAAAUAGGAAAUAAAGUUUGCGACCUCGAUGUUGGAUUAAGAUAAAAUUUAAAUGCAGAAGUUUAAAAUUUUUGA